CAGAGCGCCGGAUGCCGGGAAGUUGGUCAAACUUGAUCAUUUAGAGGAAGUAAAAGUCGUAACAAGGUUUCCGUAGGUGAACCUGCGGAAGGAUCAUUACCGAUGCGAAUCCAAAACAUGGUUAUCAUUAACCUGUGUGAACCGUACACCACAUUUAGGGGUCGGCGAUCGUGCCGUUAAAUGGUCGAGCGUUCGUUUGUUCGGCGUUCGGCCAGCCCCGCCUGUUUUUGACGCACUUUUAAUGUACCAGUCUGAAACGUUGCUCGUUUAUUACGCGGGUAAGAAUGUACGAAAGAGAGAGACAACUUUUAACGGUGGAUCUCUUGGCUCACGUAUCGAUGAAGAACGCAGCCAGCUGCGAUAAGUAGUGUGAAUUGCAGAAUUCAGUGAAUCAUUGAAUCUUUGAACGCAAAUGGCGCUCUUGGGUUCUCCCAGGAGCAUGUCUGUCUGAGUGUCGGAUAUUAUCUAACGCACUAGAUUGUGCGGAAUUGAGGCGUCACGGCGUGUUAUCUAUCAUCGCCGUGUCCCUUGAAGGAAAGCGUGCUAGACUCGCAUCGUGCGGUUAACGCCUGCACCGCAUGCGAAGGCUAAAAAUAUUUUGUCCUUCGCUGUGGUACAGGUCCGCCAUCGCGUGUCUGUGGCCGAAGUAAAAGGUGACAAUUCAUAUUAUCUUGACCUCAGAUC
Molecule: unclassified non-coding RNA, 684 nt
Filed under: Cladopsammia eguchii
Lineage: Eukaryota; Metazoa; Cnidaria; Anthozoa; Scleractinia; Dendrophylliidae
Description: sequence contains ITS1, 5.8S rRNA gene and ITS2
Rfam family: 5.8S ribosomal RNA (bases 304-457)
Source: RNAcentral